GAAAUGCGAUAAGUAAUGUGAAUUGCAGAAUUCAGUGAAUCAUCGAAUCUUUGAACGCACCUUGCGCUCCUUGGUAUUCCGAGGAGCACGCCUGUUUGAGUGUCGUGAAAUUCUCAACCUACAAAGUUGUUGUUGCAACUUUGUUUGGCUUGGAUCUGGAGGCUUUGCUGGCUUGCUCUGAGUUCAGCUCCUCUUAAAUGCAUUAGCUUGGUUCCUUGUGGAUCAGCUCUCGGUGUGAUAAAUUGUCUAUGCCGUGACUGUGAAGCGUUUGGCGAGCUUAUAACCGUCUCAUUAGAAGAGACAGUCUUUCAUUUGACAUCUGACCUCAAAUCAGGUGGGACUACCCGCUGAACUUAA
Molecule: ribosomal RNA, 357 nt
Filed under: Polyporus sp. 273-810
Lineage: Eukaryota; Fungi; Basidiomycota; Agaricomycetes; Polyporales; Polyporaceae
Description: eukaryotic LSU rRNA
Rfam family: 5.8S ribosomal RNA (bases 1-105)
Source: RNAcentral